RNAcentral lists this ribosomal RNA (743 nucleotides) under uncultured bacterium. Its description in RNAcentral is "bacterial SSU rRNA". It matches the Rfam family "Bacterial small subunit ribosomal RNA", at positions 8 to 796 of the family's 1533-position model. The record is from RNAcentral.
AGAGUUUGAUCCUGGCUCAGAACGAACGCUGGCGGCAGGCCUAACACAUGCAAGUCGAGCGCCCCCGCAAGGGGGAGCGGCGGACGGGUGAGUAACGCGUGGGAAUUUUCCUCAAGGUACGGAACAACUCAGGGAAACUUGGGCUAAUACCGUAUGAUGUCUAGCGACCAAAGAUUUAUCGCCUUGGGAUAAGCCCGCGUCAGAUUAGGUAGUUGGUGGGGUAACGGCCUACCAAGCCUGCGAUCUGUAGCUGGUCUGAGAGGACGAUCAGCCACACUGGGACUGAGACACGGCCCAGACUCCUACGGGAGGCAGCAGUGGGGAAUCUUGCGCAAUGGGCGAAAGCCUGACGCAGCCAUGCCGCGUGAAUGAUGAAGGUCUUAGGAUUGUAAAGUUCUUUCGCUCGUGACGAUGAUGACGGUAACGAGAGAAGAAGCCCCGGCUAACUUCGUGCCAGCAGCCGCGGUAAUACGAAGGGGGCUAGCGUUGUUCGGAAUUACUGGGCGUAAAGCGCGCGUAGGCGGUUUUGCAAGCCAGAGGUGAAAUGCCUGAGCUCAACUUAGGAAUUGCCUUUGGGACUGCGAGGCUUUGAGGACUGGAGAGGUGAGUGGAAUUCCCAGUGUAGAGGUGAAAUUCGUAGAUAUUGGGAAGAACACCAGUGGCGAAGGCGGCUCACUGGCCAGUUUCUGACGCUGCAGCGCGAAAGCGUGGGGAUCAAACAGGAUUAGAUACCCUGGUAGUCG